UGGCUCAGUGGUUAAGAGCACUGACUGCUCUUCCAGAGGUUCUGGGUUCAAAUCCCAG
This 58-nucleotide transfer RNA is filed under the name Rattus norvegicus (Norway rat). It matches the Rfam family "tRNA", at positions 8 to 63 of the family's 71-position model. Rfam says of the family: Transfer RNA (tRNA) molecules are approximately 80 nucleotides in length. Their secondary structure includes four short double-helical elements and three loops (D, anti-codon, and T loops). Further hydrogen bonds mediate the characteristic L-shaped molecular structure. tRNAs have two regions of fundamental functional importance: the anti-codon, which is responsible for specific mRNA codon recognition, and the 3' end, to which the tRNAs corresponding amino acid is attached (by aminoacyl-tRNA synthetases). tRNAs cope with the degeneracy of the genetic code in two manners: having more than one tRNA (with a specific anti-codon) for a particular amino acid; and 'wobble' base-pairing, i.e. permitting non-standard base-pairing at the 3rd anti-codon position. Lineage: Eukaryota; Metazoa; Chordata; Mammalia; Rodentia; Muridae. The record is from Rfam by way of RNAcentral.